Molecule: long non-coding RNA, 9453 nt
Organism: Sipha flava (yellow sugarcane aphid)
Lineage: Eukaryota; Metazoa; Arthropoda; Insecta; Hemiptera; Aphididae
Exons: 8
Source: RefSeq, a predicted model, not a curated record
UGAGAAGAGAUAGAAUUUUGAUGUCAAUAAAUAAGUGAAAUCAAUCUGAACAUUUUGUGCCAAAAAGGCCCAUGGUUGAAAAAGUAGAAUUUGGAGCGAAGAAAUCAAUAAAAAAUCAAAAAAAAAAAAUAGCACAGGAUGGCGCAAACAAUAAAUUGCCAACAAAAAUUUGAAUCAAACAGAUUAACUUUUAAACUCUGAUUUAUUAUCAUUAAUAUACAUCAUUCUACGCUAAUUUUUUUUUCCAAUGUUUGUACAGUUAAACAACUUAAAAUUUUUGUGAAUUGAUAUUUUUUCAAGUUGAGGCACAGAAUUUUGAUAUUGAUUUCAUUUCUUUAUUAACCUCAAAAUUCAGGAAAUCUUUCAUUAAUAUGCCUUUUCAGCACAGAAUUCGGGUAUUGAUUACUUUUUUUUUAUUAAGCUCCAAAUUCUAAUUUUUCAACCAUGGGCUUUUUUGGCACAGGAUUUUGAGAUUGAUUUCAUUUAUUUAUUAACAUCAAAAUUCUAUCUUUUCUCACAAUCGCUUUAACUUACGCACAGAAAGCCUUUUUUACUUCUCCGAAGUACUUUUUUGUGGAUUUCAAUUAUUUUUCCGAAGCACGUUUUAUAGUGACAUCUCGGGACAAUGUAAUUCUUUUGAUUCAAAUAUCAAAAUGUGAGCGUUUUUUUAAUUCUGAGGUAACUUGCAUAUGUUUCGUGCUUUGGUUGUUUAUAUAUAUCCAGUUGGUCUUGUUUUCCCUGAUCAUGAUGCUGUAUCUGCCAGAUUUAAGAUUAUUUUCAUAGAAAACGCAACUGUGUAGCUUAUAGAAGUGAUUGUUAAUUUUUAGUACAGAUGUUGGUAAAGCCUUUAUAUUGUAAUUACAGAAUAUAUAAUCCUCAGGGUUGCUAUUAUCGGAUAUUUCCAACUGUAAUUGAACUAUCAAAAUUUUGUUUGUAAUUUUUGGAUCGACUUGAACGUUCAAUGAAUCGCUUAAACAUCUAGUCCAGGUUUUUUUAAUUGAAUGCUGGAAAUCCAUAAGCGUAUUUAACUCAUAUGUUUUUUUCGGAUCAUUUUUUAUGGAUACUUGCAAAAUAUUUGUCUGAAAUUCUUGGACAUUUUUACAGGAACACACAGUACCAGUUUUAAUAUAAACACCCUUAAACGUAACGACAUCAUUGAUCUGAUUACUUUUAUUUAAAAUUGAAUGUAAAAAGUUGGGUAUUGUUAUGUUAUUAUUUGUAGCAAAAGUAUUUCAUGUUCGACAAAAAGCAUAAAUUCUCGUAAAUCUUGCAGCCUGUUUGCCUCAUAAUUAUCGAUCAUCAUAUUUAAGAUAUGAUCUGGUGGAAGUUUUUUUAUUUCAUUUCUCAAUGAUGAAUUCGAUAAUAGUUAGAGGAAUUUAACUGCUGCAAAUGAGCUGAAGCCGUCAUCUGGAAACCUUCUAAGAUUGGAUAUAUUAUUCUGGAUCGUUAUUUUUUUGAACUCCUAAAACUUCUCUAAGAAUAGUCCAAACCUGUUCAGCAUGGCUAUGAGAUCACGGCAAUUUAUGGCGGGAAGAUAAUAACCUACCAAGUCAGGUCUAAAUUUUUGUCUCAAGGAGUUGUAUUGUAAAAUUAAUAAUGUAACUGCAACAACUUUAAAAGUAUCAUAAUUGAUCAGGUGUAGGCCAGUCAAAGAAAUUACUCUAGAUAGGGCUACAUAUAUUUGUCCCUUCAAAAAAGGAUGGGCCCCUGCGUCAAUGAUCACAUUCUUUAAACUAAUGCCUUGACUUUUGUGUACAGUUAUAGCAUAGCUCAAGAUCAAAGGAAACUGUUUUUUAUUGACAUAAACGUCAUUUGAUAUUUCAAAAGUAACCUUUACCUGUUCAAUCCCAUGGAUUUCAUGAUUCUAGCAUUUAUUUUAAUCGUUAUUUUCUUAGGCAAACCCGCUGUGACAGACGAGUCUUCGUUUUUUCCAAUUUUUUUUUUAGUAUACUGCCGUUGUUGUGGGUUCUUAGUGUUUAUUUUAUUAUUGGCGAGCAGCUUGAUUUCCGGCUCGUUAUUUCUGGCUAACAUAGCCUCGUUCAAUGUAUCGCACAUAUCUUUCGUAAGCAUUAUGCAAACAGCAUCACCAAGAGCUUCCACAUAAACACAGAGUUUGUAUAAUCUUUCACCUAGGUUAUGGGAAUUUAAAUUAAUCAUUUGUGUUUUUAAAUUUUUCGUAUCACUUAUAGUGCCUACCCGCUAAUUGGCAAGAAUUGUUUUGUAAGUGUCAUUAUCUUUUUGACGCAUAUUUAUUCUUGAUUUAUCGUAGUUCAGUAGAGACCAAAAAUCUACUGGAGCAAUGGACUGUAAAUUUAUUCAAAGUUUCGGUUGAAACAGGCACGAAAACGGGACCAUCACUAAUAGGUGGUAGUUGCAGUAAAUCGCCAUAAACCAACAAAUGCAUUUUUCCCAACCAGCCAUCUUCGUCGUUAAAUUAAUUGAAUAUUUAAACUAAUCUCAAAUGCAUGUAUAAAAAUUGACAUUUGAAACCAUAGAUAUUUCAUCGAGAAUCACCAUAGCUACAUUUUUAAGAGCUUUUCUAAUUGCAUCUAGCGCUGUGUCAGAAAAUGGAUAGUAUUAAGGCGUGCCUCUUAUAUGUUCAAUGAGUAGUUGCAAAAAUCGGUGCAUGGUUAAACCUCUUACAUUGAAAGUAGCUAUGCCCGUUGGGGCUAGAAUUGCGACAUAUAUUUUGAGUUCCUGAUGAUUAGCGUGAACUAAACAUUUUAUGACGUAAAUUUUUCCUGUGCCAGCUUCGCCAUUAACGAACUUUCAACAUAAUUUGUUACCAUUCUUAACUGAUUGAAAGACUGAAUUAAAAACCCUUCGUUGAUCCUCAUUCAUGGAUUAUACUCCUUUUCGCUAAUCAAAAUUGACUUCAGCUUCUUGUUUUUUGUUUCCCUGAAAAUCAUCCAUGGCAUUCUCGACUUCUUCGGGCACACAACUCAAAUUCUCAAAAAUGUCAUUAUUUUAUUCUUGUGAGUUUUGCUAUUGUUGCUCUUCAUCUUCAAUAUUUUAAGUCAUUUGUUUCAGAAUUAUCUCUUGGUUUGUUAUUUUUUCGAAAUACGAAACUACGUCUGGUAAAUUACCUUUUUUAGCAUAAAGGAACCCUGGUACGUCUUGCAAUCAUUUAAAAGUUCGUCCGUCGAGAUCCAUUGCUAUCUCAGCAAUAGUAUAGAAUAAUAAAAGUUCUCCGGCUGCGUUUUUACUUUGAAGAUGUAAUGACUGAUAACGUAUGGUUUUGCUCGCUUGAUUAAAUAUUUUGUUACAAUUUUAUUAGCGAAACUACUUCUAAUUUCAAAAAAUUUUCUGGUUUCUCUUUUAGGUUUUUUAGGUUUCAAUUCGUACCACUGUGCAAAUUUAUAUAGGCACAUGUCUGUUAAUUCGAUCGGUCUAUUGGGAUAAAGAUCAUCAAUGAAUUAACUGUAAAAUACGGCUUCCGAUUCUUCUUGAAGUUUUUGUAUUUGAUUUAUCGGAAGAACUCUUUUAUUUCUUAUCAUGAAAACAUUUGGCCACUUUAAAACUGUGUUAUUAUUAGUGUCGUAUAACGAAAUCAUUAAGCAUACAUCUGCAGCAUAAACAUGAAGCAUACAUGCUGCUUCGAUUACACCACAUUCUUUGUUAUAGAGUGUUCUCAUAGCAAAGCUCCACAGCUUCUUGGUAAAACCCUCAUUAGCAAGAGCGCGUUCCGAAAUAUUCUGUUCCAAUGCUUUCUCAUUUUUUAAAAUAUAUUUGAGGAUGUAUGUGACUAAUGCCAUCGAAUGAUUGCUCACAAAUUGAAUAUCCGUGUUUCCAUUCCACAACAUCAUAACUUAUGAUUCAUAAGUAUGGGGACAUAAUCAUUAAUAUUUGAUUCAGUGAAUUUGCGUGGCAGAUCAUAAAGCCUAGUUUUUGCUUUCAAGUUUCGCCUGCCAACAAUAGAAGUUUGAACGUUUCUCAAAAUAAAUUCUUCUGUAACUGGCCUGUCGAACCCUAAACGACAGACUUUGAUGAACUCCCUUUCAGUUUUCUUAUUUCUCGUGCAGUACGAAUUGUGCUUAUAACGCUGAAAUCGUAAAGCGUGGGUGACGUAUUUUUAUCAGGUAAUACACAUGAGGAACCCCUCAUAAUAAACUGGGCUACUUCUUCCUCAGAUAAAACACCGAGUAUUGGAGCACUUUCAAUCCAAACUAGCAUAUGGAAAUGACACAUUCCUCUCUGUUGAUAUUCAUGUCUCCAAAAGUGGUGUAAACACUUUCCACCAAGCGGAUCAUUAUCGGAAUAAAUGCACUUUAAAAUGACCUCGAACUGAUUAUCCAAAUACCUAGCGACUGAUACUGGAUCUAAAGCCAAUAUUUCAUUGAUGCUCAUUUUUGACUUAAUAUCAGGGUUGACAUCUCGAAUGUACUGAAUCAGUUCUGGGUCAUUCCACUUUCCAGGGCUGAAGGUAACAAACAAAGUGUAACGGUCAAAAGUAGAUGAGGAUCCGUAUUUGAUUUUCCUCAUUAAAUAUUAUAACCAUUUUAAAUAAAUGUGCGACCACUUCAUCAUCUAUAAUGCCAAUGGAUGAAAACACUUUGGAAUUCCCUCCAAUCAUUCAGUAAUUGCAUACCUCUCUAUCCAGUUGUGUAAGGUGUGUUAGUGGGUGGCCAUAUAAUAAUUGUAUGAUAACGAGUAUUGGCCAAUUAUUAUAAUUAUUAUUAUUAUUGUUUCAAUGAGCCAGUUUUCGUAUAUUUCUGUAAAAUAUUUUACUGGUUCACUUUCAGUCGCAUAAAUUGCCGGUCCAUAUUCUUUAAUCAUGGCGUUCAAAUCACACGUAGGCUUUUUCUAAUAUUCUUUGGUAUUUCUUACUCUGCUAAAGACGUUGUUUAUCUGAUUUUCUCCAUCAUCAAAAUCUCCGUUUGCUAUCUUUUAAAGAUAGAUUUAUUUUGUAAACUUUUGGUUACCUUUAGUUAAGUUUAGCGUGUGAUAAGCUCCACCAUUUUCUUGACGCAUGGUAGCGUUAUUCAUCAUAUGAAACAGAUGUUGCGAAUUUUUUCUAUAUCUCGGAUGUUUAGAUGUAACUCUCGCUUUUAGGCAAUCGCAAUCACGAAUAGAUUGGAAUCUGUCUUCGUGUAUUCCAUUUUCACCUUUCGGAUAAAUAUCAAGAAAACACAAUAUAUUUAAUUUUUUUUCAUACCAAGGCAUAGGAGUAUCGUGAACUUUCUUUUGUUGAUACAAUUUGGUGGCCGAAUUCAUGGUACGACCUGAUUGAAUCGGAAAUACCGUGUAUUGUUCAUACAUUGGGUCCGAAUUGCUUGAACAUGUUAGAAUAGCACUAUCAUGGAUAGUGUGUUCACCAUUGUCGUACGGUGAAUGAUCUUGGUUAUUAUUUUGCUUGUUUGUGACGACUUCAUUUUUUUUUUCAGCAUCGGUUUCAUCUUGGAACUCUGUUUGCGUUCCAUAAUUUGUGCGAUUCAAUCUGAAGAUUCUAGAAACUCAAUUAAAGAAUAUAAAGAAUUUUUAUUUUUGUACCUUAACAAAGCUUUCGUGAACGUCUAUCAAAAUUUGCCAAACUUAUUUCGCAACAUUUGGGAUUGAUCUGACUAGAAUGUACAACUCGUGAUUGAGAUUUAAAAUAUUUGUUUCCUUACAUAACUUCUUGAAAGUUUGUACAAUAGGUAGUGGCAAGUGAUACGCUAUUUUAGAAUCUUUCUUAAUUUGUUUCUUGAAUGGCAAAUUUUUAUUCAUUACGGUUUUGGUAGACGUAAUUUAUUGGAAAAAUUUUACACGCUGCACCAGUGACGUAUUUAUAGGAGGGGAUAUGGGGGAUAUAUCCCUUCCCUUACCCUUUUUUUCCAUUUAUAAAGUAAAAACUGCACAACUGUUGUUAUUUAUAAUUUCGUUAUCCUGUGGGCUGUGACUGACAACAUGUGAGAGACAUUACACAACAAUAACUACACAAAAUUAAAAUAGAACCAUAUUCAGAAUUCGAGUAAAACCCGCUUGUACCUACCAUAUAAUAAAAAUAGCACAUUGCUAUACUAAAUAUUUACAAAAUUUGCCGUGCACAAAACUGCUUUCUAAAGCAACACAGCGGACUAUAGGAAAUCGUGAAUUUUAUAAUAAAUAUUAUUUCUAAUAGCAUCGCAUUAUCGUGGUUGCACAUUUGUACAUCAUUCCACCUUCCCGCUCUCCGAGUAACAAUAUAUCCGCAUUGCCAUUGCACACUUGUUAUUUUUAUGUACCUAUCUAAUUCUUUUUUUGAAGUAAAUAAAUAAAUUUUAAUUAAAUAAUCGAAAGUUAUAACUCAAUGGCAUCAAAAAAACCAUGCAGUAAUAAUUUAUUAUCAUAUUUUACAAAAAAUAAAAAGCACGCACAGGUUCAUAUGAAAAUAAUGAGGUAAGUCUGAUUUAUUACGUUUUAAUUGCAUACAUUGUAAUAUUUUUUUAUUUGUUAAGAUUGCUACCACUACGGUGGAUGGAAUAAUUGUUGAUAGUCAAAAAGUCUCUUCAGAUAGAGACAGUAAUAUUCGACUAUUUGAUCUUAAUUUACAAUCGAGUAAAGUUGAUUUUGGUUGUGGAAGUAAAAAUGAAAAAACACUAGCCAGUCCCAAUAAUGAUAUUGGAUUUAUAGAAGAUAGAGUAGUAUUGACAGAAGAUGAUAAAAAGCUUUUAAGUUCAUUCUUGAAGCAAAUUUAGAGAAGUGCUUACGGAUUUGUGUGUACCAGAUGAUUUUUACAAAUUCCCAUUACUCGAAAAAAAAUAAGAAACGUGGCUUACGGUUUCAACAAAAAUGGCUGAAAGAGUUAAAUUGGCUGGCAUAUUCAAAUGUAAAAAAUGGUACUUUUUGUAAAUACUGUAUCCUGUUUACAAGAAAUAGUGGGAUUGGAAAUUAACCUUUAGAGAAUCUUGUUACUGUCGCAUUCACUAACUGGAAGAAAGCAAAUAGGUAUAUAGAGUUAAUUCCAGUUUAAAAUAUCAUACUUCUUCUGUACUAGAUUCUGAGCAAUUUUUGAAAAUAAUGGAAAAAAAGGAACCUAUAAUUUAACGAAUAGAUAAAAAUAGAAUACCUACUAUAAAUAGAAGAAAAUAGAAAAAGAAUUAAAACAAUUAUUGAAUGCAUUAUAUUAUGUGGUAAAGAAGAAUUGGCUUUAAGAUAUCUCUAAUCACCGUAAAGAUGUUGGUCCAAUCAAUGUUGAUGAUGAUAUAAGACAAGGUCAUUUUCGUGCCAUAUUGAAGUAUAGAGCCAAAAGAGACGACUUUCUACAUACUGUUCUGGAAGGUUUUGGUAAACGUAAUAAGUACAAUAGUCCAGUCAUUCAAAACGAAAUAAUCCAGAUAUAUCGACAAAAGAGCAGCUCUCUAUACGUGUUCGUUAUAUUGAUUAACAAAAUAUGCUAAAUGAGGACUUUUUACAGUUCUUUGAAAUUAAAAGUUUGACCGUUGAUGUCUUGGCAAAUUCAAUAUUAAAUGUUUUUUAGGUUUAAAUAGAUGCGGUCUAGAUUGUAAUUAUUCAUAUGGCCAGGGCUACGAUGGGGCCAGUUAUAUGACUUGCCAAUUUAAAGGAGUUCAAACUCUUGUACGGUCUAAAUAACCCAAAGUUUUGUAUGUGCACUUUGCUGCACAUUUGUUGAAUUUGGCAGCUUCAACAGGAAGUGGAAUAAAACCUAUCAGAAAUUGUUUAGAACUCAUUGAAAAAGCGUACACAUUUUUUAACACCCCCAAAAGGAAUUGUAUUCUUGUACAUGUAAUUGAAAAUUUUUACAAUGAACCUAGCAUAAAACAAUUGAAACGACUUUGUGCCACACUCUGGAUUCAACCCUAUGAUUCGGUAAAUUAUUUUUCAGAGCUAUUCCCAUUUGUUCUUUCAGCAUUAAAAAUUAUUUAGAUUGAAUGAAUCAAUUAAUACUACUCCUACAAGGGCAUCUAAAAUAAUAAAAUGUUGGGAAAAUAAAAAUAAAAAUAUGUCUGCCACUCGAAUGAACGAAGAUAAAGCAUUGUCAUUACUAAAUGCUAAAUUAACUAAACAUCAGAGUCAACUUAUUAGAUUAAAUGCUUAAGAAAACAAUUCAGAUAAAAACUUACCAACCUUACAACUUAAUAAGAGAAGCAAAAACACGGUGCUAUCCUCCCAAAGAAGCGUUUAUAAUUACUGAAUCUCUUGCUGAAAUUUAUCUGCAAGAACUCCUUGAUCACACGGCUUUUCGUAUAAUAAAAUGUCAGUGGAGUGUAGUUGAUGGUUUUUCUACCGAGAAUAUUACUUCAAUGACUUUGAUUACGAAAUGGGGUUUUGAUCGCAGUACAGGUCAUAGUGAAUAUAAGCUAAAAUACAACGAAGAUUUUAGUGACUCACAAGUACUUUUAAUGUCAUUAGUACCUAUUCAGUUAUUUGUCAGUAUAUCCCAUUCACACAAAUUAUAUGGAAAAAUCCUCAGCCAUAUUGUACAAGGUAUUUUCGACCAAUACGAUUUCAGUUUAAAAAAGAAACAAAAGAAAUAAAUUUAAAAGAAAAAAAAUACAUCCAAAAUCAAAUUAAAGAAUUAAAACUGAUCAAAUUAUCAAUAAAUAACUAUUAUAUAGAUAUUUCACUUGACAUGCAACUUAUAAUGGUCGAUGGAAAAGUUUGUAAUGCAAUUAUAACCAUUACUUCAGCACAAAAACGUUAUAUUUGUAAGACUACACCAGUAGAAAUGAAUCAAAUCGAAAAAGUUAUAAAUAAGGAGAUAGACCCAACAUAACUUUUUAGCCUUUCAACUCUACAUGCUUGGAUUUGGUUUUUUGAAUAUUUUUUACACAUUUCUUACUGUCUGGAUAUAAAAAAGUGGCAACUAAGGGGUGAAGAUAAAGACAAAUUUUUAUCUAGGAAAAAAAAAUUCAAGAAAAAUUUAAAAUCAUUAUGGGGUUAAAAAUAGAUUAUGUAAGAUCAGGAGAUGAAGGAACAUCUAAUGAUGGGAACACUUCUCGAAGAUUUUUUGAUAACCUUCAAAAAGCAGCUGAAAAACAGGAAUAAAAGAAAUCAUUAUUAAAAAUUGUGCAACAAUUCUUAAAAUGAUUCUUAAAGUCUUAAAGAUUGUCAUCUGGUUAUGCAAUAAAUGAAGAAUCAUUCAGUAAAUACGCAAUUGAAACAGCUAAAUUGUUAGUAAAAGAAUAUCUUUGGUACUAUAUGCCAUCCUCAGUACAUAAAAUAUUAUUACAUGACUCAUUAGUUAUUUCUACUGCUUUACUUUCCAUUGGCCAAAUGUCCGAAGAAGCACAAGAAGCACGCAAUAAAAACCUAAAAAAUAUUCGCGAAAAUUAUUGUAGAAAAUGUUCUAGGGUUGAAACAAAUGAAGUCCUAUUACAUGGUUUUAUUACAUUAGUGUCAUCUGAUCCAGUCAUUUCUAGCCUAAGAAUGUUACCACCUAAAAAAAUUUAUUUUUCUCUCAAGAAGUAUUACAAUUACUUAUUGCAGCACAAUGAACAAAUGAUUUGAAAAAAAAAUAGUUCAAGUGCAAGU